Molecule: long non-coding RNA, 1121 nt
Organism: Hordeum vulgare subsp. vulgare (domesticated barley)
Lineage: Eukaryota; Viridiplantae; Streptophyta; Magnoliopsida; Poales; Poaceae
Exons: 4
Source: RefSeq, a predicted model, not a curated record
GACUAUUGAGUUGUGUUGAUUAUAUUUUUUAACAUUUGUGUAUCACUUUUACUUGCAUAUAUUCAAGGAUUUUUCUUUCUUGGUACUAGGAUGGAUAUUUUCUCCUGGAAUGCAGAUGGAUGUAUGAUUGAGGAGAUGAACCAAGCAUCCUGCUAUGAUAUGAUCGAGUUGUAUCUCGGGUACAUAGGAAAGUAGCUCAACAACUGGCAUAAAAAGAGCAUGCAUCAGGUUGAUGUAUGACUGUUUAGAACUUGUGACUGAUUUAGAUUGACCAUCAUAUGGACCAAUCCAAGCUCCGCCAGGAUGUAGACACUGUCCGUAAAUUCCUUCUAGACCAGUACAUCAAUGAGAAACAUGUCAAUCACAACACUCUACAUUAAUCAUUAUGAACAAAGUCAUGUCUAGGAGUUCCCAAUGGAGAAGGUGGAAGAGGCCUGCCGAGAGUACACUAUACGAGAUGUAGCGGGAGGAGCACCUGCUGGCUGCCUUUGCCUACUUCGACAAGGAGAACAAUGGGUACAUCACCAUAGAGAAGGUGUAACCGUGGAAAAGGCCUGCCGAGAGUACAACAUACAAGCAGUAUCAACACAUCAUCAACGAGGUCGGCAAUGUCAACAUGGUAAAUUUAUUCACUAAAGUCUCCAUCUCGAAUUAAUUAACUGAUUCAUUUAGUUCCAGUGAUUAGUCUUACUAUUAAGCUAAAAAUUACAAAUAUGAAUUCGAAAUUGAGUAUAUCCUUGAUAUACAGUAAUAUAUUUGAUUAGCAUGGUUGAAUCGACGAUGGGGAAUUUGUGGUCCCCCGUUGAAUUUCAACGGUCCAAGGGUUCUGUAGAAGUACAAGAUUUUAAAGAGAGAGGGCUCAGACAUGGUCACAAGAAUGAAGGUUAUCAUGUGAAGAACGACAAGACAUGAAUUCGACCAUUUGUUACAGCUAGAAGUUAAAAAAUGAUCUCUGUUAAGUUUCCAAGAUUGUUGUAAAUAAUAACUGGUUAAACAAGAUUUAUUUCAAGUUUUCAAGAUUUUUCUAUGAGCUUAACAGUUUAGAAUAGUUCUCACCUUGUUACUAGGAUUUAGCAGCACAAACAUAUUUUUUACACGCCGUCUACAGGGAGUUGUCAAUA